AGAACUCCGUGGUUAAGCGUGCUUGG
RNAcentral lists this ribosomal RNA (26 nucleotides) under Oryza sativa Indica Group (long-grained rice). The record is from RNAcentral. Lineage: Eukaryota; Viridiplantae; Streptophyta; Magnoliopsida; Poales; Poaceae.